This is a long non-coding RNA of Amblyraja radiata (thorny skate), 668 nucleotides long. RefSeq lists it as uncharacterized. NCBI's taxonomy places the organism in Eukaryota, Metazoa, Chordata, Chondrichthyes, Rajiformes, Rajidae. The transcript has 3 exons. The record is from RefSeq and is a predicted model, not a curated record.
GCCAAGUCAUUCCAUACUAAUAUUAAGUGUUUCUGGAAACUUGUUUCCUUAGUGAUGACCUGAAUUCACUCCUGAGGCAGAUCAGCACUUGUGUUUUGGGAUUGUAAAUCUGGAUCCUGCAGAUCUGGAGAGGGCGCCUUGGACCUUGUUAUAACACCUCGUAUGCAAAGUGACACCUUUGACAAUAUAACAAUCCUCAGGCACAGCACUGCAGGCUUUGGAAUUCGAUUGCAAGAGAGGGCCAGUUGCAAGGUAAUUUUCCGACCUCACUGAAUUCACAGCCUGGAUCCAUUCUUCACAUCCCCGUGGAGAGGCUGCCAGUUCACAUGGCCUUGAUUUGGAGCCUCUUGUAUCAAGAAUGUUGUUUCCUUUCCACCGUACGCCGCUGAGGUAAAUGAAUUUCAAGAAUGUUGGCACUGCCCCGUUGCAAUGAGAAUGCAAGUAGCAUUUUCCUUCCCAAGGCCCCCGAAAGCCUCCUAAUUAUUGUCAUCGAAAGAAUUAAGAUAUUGAGAUUGAUUCAUGACUUAAAGGAAAACAAACAGAAAAACAAUGCUGGAGCCAAAAUAUCAGCACGGAGCUGGAUUGAAUUUCAUGCUGGCACCAAGACCACAGGCCUUCCUUGUCGAGGUAACAAAGCUGGAAUUGUGCUUGCAGUCUGGUGACCAGGA